GGAAUAAAAGUCGUAACAAGGUUUCCGUAGGUGAACCUGCGGAAGGAUCAUUAACGAGUUAGGGUCUUCUAGGCCCGACCUCCCAACCCUUUGUUUACUGAACCAUUGUUGCCUCGGUGGGUCCGUCUUACGACCGCCGGGGGAUCGCCGCGAGGCGCCCCCUGGCCAGCGCCCACCGAUAGCCCAACCUUUAAAACCCUUUGUGAAUCGUGUCUUAUGUCUAAAUUUAUGAUUAAACAAUCAAAACAAAACUUUCAACAACGGAUCUCUUGGUUCUG
This 278-nucleotide unclassified non-coding RNA is filed under the name plant metagenome. RNAcentral describes it as "partial contains small subunit ribosomal RNA, internal transcribed spacer 1, and 5.8S ribosomal RNA". The stretch from base 1 to 53 matches the Rfam family "Eukaryotic small subunit ribosomal RNA", at positions 1779 to 1831 of the family's 1831-position model. The record is from RNAcentral.